CUCAGGACCCGGGGGGUAUCAUUGCAAAAUGUUUUCUUCGCUUUUUCCUCUGCCUUGAAUUCAAAGCAUGACCUCUACCAGCGGAAUUCAAUCAGAUGCCUCCUGCAAGGUUGUUUUAAAGUAAAGGGCCCAGUAAUUCCAGAAAAGAUCUUGAAAGCCAAUCCCAGCUCUGAGCCUCUCUAAAGUCUCCGAUCACAGAGCUUUCUCCGAAAAGGAAACACCAGAAGAGAGAAGCUAAGAAAACAGCUCAUGGACGCACAGAUAAGGCCUGGAGGGACCUUGGAUAGAGUGACGGAGCUUGUGAUGCUGAACUUAGCCGUGCCACGGCGAAGCUGGGGAGGAAAGCAGCCAUUUCAUUCAUCCGCUAAUUCGGCCAAGACAGAUUGAGGGCUUACUUCUCUUUUAGGCUUACUCCUCCUUAUCAUUCAAGGGUCACCCUCAAUGUCACUUCCUUAGGGAAACCUUUGACCUCUGAGACUAGGCCAGGUCCCCAGGUUAUGCUCCCCUGAAGCACCCUGCACUUCCGUUUUCACAGAGCUCUUUGCUCUGAAAGCAAAUGGCUCAGUAUCUGUUUUCCCUCCAUCACUGUAAUGUGACGGGGCAGGAGCCUCGCCUGUCUUUACUACCGUAUCGCAGCGCCUAACAUAGAGAAGGUGCUCGCUAAGUACAUGAACCUGUGCCAGGUGCUGAGGUCUCCAGGAAAAACUGGCCGAAAGUCUGCCCUCAAGGAGUUUAUGCAAACAUUAAAAACCCAUGCUUAACGCAGUAUGACAGGAGUAACUACAAAUUGCGACGGCCACACAAUUGUAUUCUACACACACUUCCUCACUUCGUUCCCGACAAAAUCUAAAAAGAACAAA
Molecule: long non-coding RNA, 860 nt
Organism: Lynx canadensis (Canada lynx)
Lineage: Eukaryota; Metazoa; Chordata; Mammalia; Carnivora; Felidae
Exons: 3
Source: RefSeq, a predicted model, not a curated record